RNAcentral lists this ribosomal RNA (491 nucleotides) under uncultured bacterium. RNAcentral describes it as "partial 16S ribosomal RNA". It matches the Rfam family "Bacterial small subunit ribosomal RNA", at positions 29 to 507 of the family's 1533-position model. The record is from RNAcentral.
AGUGAACGCUGGCGGUAGGCCUAACACAUGCAAGUCGAACGGCAGCACAGUAAGAGCUUGCUCUUACGGGUGGCGAGUGGCGGACGGGUGAAGAAUACAUCGGAAUCUACUUUUUCGUGGGGGAUAACGUAGGGAAACUUACGCUAAUACCGCAUACGACCUACGGGUGAAAGCAGGGGAUCUUCGGACCUUGCGCGAUUGAAUGAGCCGAUGUCGGAUUAGCUAGUUGGCGGGGUAAGGCCCACCAAGGCGACGAUCCGUAGCUGGUCUGAGAGGAUGAUCAGCCACACUGGAACUGAGACACGGUCCAGACUCCUACGGGAGGCAGCAGUGGGGAAUAUUGGACAAUGGGCGCAAGCCUGAUCCAGCCAUACCGCGUGGGUGAAGAAGGCCUUCGGGUUGUAAAGCCCUUUUGUUGGGAAAGAAAAGCAGCAGGUUAAUACCCCGCUGUUCUGACGGUACCCAAAGAAUAAGCACCGGCUAACUUCGUG